UCUCCGUUGGUGAACCAGCGGAGGGAUCAUUACAGGACUCGCAAGACUCCUACAACCCUGUGAACUUAACUAUAAGCACGUUGCUUCGGCGGGUGUCUCGGAGGGGGUUCUCCCUCCCCGAGACGCUAAACCCGCCGGCAGCCUACUAUACUCUGUCUCUUUGCGUUGGCAUCUCGACUACAAUCAAACAAGUUAAAACUUUCAACAACGGAUCUCUUGGUUCUG
This 225-nucleotide unclassified non-coding RNA is filed under the name plant metagenome. Its description in RNAcentral is "partial contains small subunit ribosomal RNA, internal transcribed spacer 1, and 5.8S ribosomal RNA". The record is from RNAcentral.